This 438-nucleotide ribosomal RNA is filed under the name uncultured bacterium. RNAcentral's name for it is "partial 16S ribosomal RNA". It matches the Rfam family "Bacterial small subunit ribosomal RNA", at positions 355 to 786 of the family's 1533-position model. The record is from RNAcentral.
UAGGGAAUCUUCGGCAAUGGACGAAAGUCUGACCGAGCAACGCCGCGUGAGUGAAGAAGGUUUUCGGAUCGUAAAACUCUGUUGGUAGAGAAGAACGUUGGUGAGAGUGGAAAGCUCAUCAAGUGACGGUAACUACCCAGAAAGGGACGGCUAACUACGUGCCAGCAGCCGCGGUAAUACGUAGGUCCCGAGCGUUGUCCGGAUUUAUUGGGCGUAAAGCGAGCGCGGUGGUUUAUUAAGUCUGGUGUAAAAGGCAGUGGCUCAACCAUUGUAUGCAUUGGAAACUGGUAGACUUGAGUGCAGGAGAGGAGAGUGGAAUUCCAUGUGUAGCGGUGAAAUGCGUAGAUAUAUGGAGGAACACCGGUGGCGAAAGCGGCUCUCUGGCCUGUAACUGACACUGAGGCUCGAAAGCGUGGGGAGCAAACAGGAUUAGAUAGC